Molecule: transfer RNA, 86 nt
Filed under: Bacillota bacterium
Lineage: Bacteria; Bacillati; Bacillota
Also listed under: 3 other names
Description: tRNA-Leu
Rfam family: tRNA
About the family: Transfer RNA (tRNA) molecules are approximately 80 nucleotides in length. Their secondary structure includes four short double-helical elements and three loops (D, anti-codon, and T loops).
Source: RNAcentral
ACGAGGGUGGCGGAAUUGGCAGACGCGUAUGAUUCAGGUUCAUAUUGUUUCACGCAGUGAGGGUUCAAGUCCCUUCCCUCGUACCA